CAGCCGCCGCGGUAAUACGUAGGUGGCAAGCGUUGUCCGGAAUUAUUGGGCGUAAAGGGCUCGCAGGCGGUUUCUUAAGUCUAAUGUGAAAGCCCCCGGCUCAACCGGGGAGGGUCAUUGGAAACUGGGAAACUUGAGUGCAGAAGAGGAGAGUGGAAUUCCACGUGUAGCGGUGAAAUGCGUAGAGAUGUGGAGGAACGCCAGUGGCGAAGGCGACUCUCUGGUCUGUAACUGACGCUGAGGAGCGAAAGCGUGGGGAGCGAACAGGAUUAGAUACCCGCGUAGUCCCUGUCUCUUAUAC
RNAcentral lists this ribosomal RNA (301 nucleotides) under uncultured bacterium. Its description in RNAcentral is "partial 16S ribosomal RNA". It matches the Rfam family "Bacterial small subunit ribosomal RNA", at positions 509 to 807 of the family's 1533-position model. The record is from RNAcentral.